GAGGCAUAGAAAGACUUCCUGUCAUAACAGCUGCUGUGUUGUCUUCACAGCCUUUGGGGUAUGAAAUCACUUUCCUCAGCAACAGAUACAGCUUGCCAGCAGUGGAAAUGCAGAAUGCUUAUUUUAAUGUGGGACUAUAUUCCCACCACCAUAAAUCUAUUAAAUAUUAUGGUACCUCUACUGAUUGAUUCUACAAGAUCCUGAAGUUUCCUGUUGUCUUCCCAAAAGACCUUGACCUGC
Saccostrea echinata is the source of this 240-nucleotide long non-coding RNA. RefSeq lists it as uncharacterized. Lineage: Eukaryota; Metazoa; Mollusca; Bivalvia; Ostreida; Ostreidae. The transcript is spliced from 3 exons. The record is from RefSeq and is a predicted model, not a curated record.